AGCGAACGCUGGCGGCAGUCUUAACACAUGCAAGUCGAGCGGGCAUCCUUGUGGUGUCAGCGGCAGACGGGUGAGUAACGCGUGGGAACGUGCCCUUCGGUUCGGAAUAACUCAGGGAAACUUGAGCUAAUACCGGAUACGUGCGAGAGCAGAAAGGUUUAUCUGCCGAAGGAUCGGCCCGCGUCUGAUUAGCUAGUUGGUGAGGUUAUGGCUCACCAAGGCGACGAUCAGUAGCUGGUCUGAGAGGAUGAUCAGCCACACUGGGACUGAGACACGGCCCAGACUCCUACGGGAGGCAGCAGUGGGGAAUAUUGGACAAUGGGGGCAACCCUGAUCCAGCCAUGCCGCGUGAGUGAUGACGGCCUUAGGGUUGUAAAGCUCUUUUCUCCGGGACGAUAAUGACGGUACCGGAGGAAUAAGCCCCGGCUAACUUCGUG
Molecule: ribosomal RNA, 437 nt
Filed under: uncultured bacterium
Lineage: Bacteria
Description: partial 16S ribosomal RNA
Rfam family: Bacterial small subunit ribosomal RNA
Source: RNAcentral